Sinocyclocheilus rhinocerous is the source of this 106-nucleotide long non-coding RNA. RefSeq lists it as uncharacterized. The record is from RefSeq and is a predicted model, not a curated record. Lineage: Eukaryota; Metazoa; Chordata; Actinopteri; Cypriniformes; Cyprinidae. The transcript is spliced from 3 exons.
UAAGAACAUAUCCUUAAAAAAUGUGUUUAUGAUUUUGAAUGUACGUAAAACUGACAUCUUCAAGAUGUCUAUCAGAUAUUUGUACAAAGCAGAUGCUUUCUAGAUG